This 519-nucleotide ribosomal RNA is filed under the name uncultured bacterium. RNAcentral's name for it is "partial 16S ribosomal RNA". It matches the Rfam family "Bacterial small subunit ribosomal RNA", at positions 28 to 507 of the family's 1533-position model. The record is from RNAcentral.
GACGAACGCUGGCGGCGUGCCUAAUACAUGCAAGUCGAGCGAGUCUGCCUUGAAGAUCGGAGUUCUUGCACUCUGUGAAACAAGAUACAGGCUAGCGGCGGACGGGUGAGUAACACGUGGGUAACCUGCCCAAGAGAUCGGGAUAACACCUGGAAACAGAUGCUAAUACCGGAUAACAACAGAUGAUGCCUAUCAACUGUUUAAAAGAUGGUUCUGCUAUCACUCUUGGAUGGACCUGCGGUGCAUUAGCUAGUUGGUAGGGUAACGGCCUACCAAGGCGGUGAUGCAUAGCCGAGGUGAGAGACUGAUCGGCCACAUUGGGACUGAGACACGGCCCAAACUCCUACGGGAGGCAGCAGUAGGGAAUCUUCCACAAUGGACGCAAGUCUGAUGGAGCAACGCCGCGUGAGUGAAGAAGGGGUUCGGCUCGUAAAGCUCUGUUGUUGGUGAAGAAGGACAGGGGUAGUAACUGACCUUUGUUUGACGGUAAUCAAUUAGAAAGUCACGGCUAACUAAGUG